This is a long non-coding RNA of Herpailurus yagouaroundi (jaguarundi), 1119 nucleotides long. RefSeq lists it as uncharacterized. NCBI's taxonomy places the organism in Eukaryota, Metazoa, Chordata, Mammalia, Carnivora, Felidae. The transcript is spliced from 2 exons. The record is from RefSeq and is a predicted model, not a curated record.
GGCCAGAAUAGGGAUCAGGCAAAAGGAUGUGGAAGAAUCCUGGGUGAGCUGGGCAAAGCCCAAGUACAGUCCUGUACUGUUGGGUUUAUGAGCUCUUCAUUGUUGUUGUUGUUACUCUAGCACAGAGAACAGAAGUAUUGCCAAUCAUCUGGGUAGAGACCUAGAUACUCUUGAUAUUUCAAGAUUAAAAGCACAGCUAUUAGAAAAUUCCACAAAUUCUGAGACAAGAGCCACAAGGAAGAUACAUUAGAUAUUUAUGUAAUAAUUUCAGAGAGAAGUGUCAUUCUCUCCUGUGAUGAAGAUGACUGAGGUAACUACGAACCAGUUCCAGCAGGCAAAGAGCCCAGCCAGUAAUACAGAAUUUUCUUCCAAAAGGCCAGAAAAAUUUUGAUGGGCCUUUGCUCUUUCUGCAUUACAUAAAACAUUACCUAUUUUUCAUUCCUAUACUCACAACAUGAGAUUGCCCUGUUUCUUCUCUAUUUCUCUUACUACUUCUCUCCUCAUUUUAUUUAUCUUCAUUUUAUUGCUGUGGAACAGUGAUUCUCAGAAUGUGAUCCUCAUACCAGUGGCAUUAGCAUCAUGUAGGAGCUUGUUGGAUUUGCAAAAUUGAGGGCCCAUGCCAGAUAUCCUGAAUCAGAAACCCCAGGGAUGCAUGCUAAAUUUGAUGACCAUAACUCUAAAAUAAUAUUCUCCAAAGUAUAUUCCACAAAAUCUCAUUCUCUCUAUACUCUCUUUCUUGUCUCAUUUACCAUGGCUAGGUGUCCAAACUUCCUGUACCUCCAUCACUUGAUUUCUCGCCUUAAACUCCUAAGCUUGAAAGAAUGCACUCAUAACUUCCCUUCAAAACUGACCUCCUUUCCUGUCUUCUGUGUUUUCCAAUUAAAUUAAUAUUUCAGAUUGAACUGGAAGCUGUUUAAUGUUUGACAUCACGCUUAUUCACCAGUAGAUCCCAGAGACUAUUAUAAUAUCUGGCAGACAGUUACUGGGCAAUAUUUAUUGUAAUAAAGUAUAAUACAGUAGUUAUUAUGUUUUGUCAGAAGCCUCAGUGAAUACAAAUAUAAAUGUGAAUGUAAAACUCCUCUCUCUACGACUAUUUCAAUAAACCAAGUAUUUAUCCAA